GUUUCAGGGAACUUGAGACACCAUGCUCGUUAUGCGGGCAAGGCAACUCCUCUUACGACCAAAAGUUCUUAUCAAGGCUGGUGAUUGGAAGACCGGGAAAAUGACUCGGAACGCCUUUCCCCUAUCUCGUACACGGAAUUUUCAACUGGGUGUGCGAUGGACUUGGCGGGGCGAUAUUCUUGNUUGAGAUUGAGGGAACUGAAUGUAGAUUGUUGACGGCUUUUGAAUCGUCAAAGAACAACUUUCUUGGUUGGUUUUCGUAUCGACGCGGCGACACGUAUACAAUGGUCGCACGCCUUGAGUUCCACGGCCAUGAACCUGGCCUGCACUGCCACGCGUGUUGCGACGACCUUCACAAUGUCC
This 363-nucleotide unclassified non-coding RNA is filed under the name Hevea brasiliensis (rubber tree). Lineage: Eukaryota; Viridiplantae; Streptophyta; Magnoliopsida; Malpighiales; Euphorbiaceae. The record is from RNAcentral.